RNAcentral lists this small RNA (444 nucleotides) under Drosophila ananassae. Its description in RNAcentral is "GF27207". The record is from RNAcentral. Lineage: Eukaryota; Metazoa; Arthropoda; Insecta; Diptera; Drosophilidae.
CCACAUUGUCAAACUUAUUAAGGAAUACAUUUCCCUUGUUUCUCGUGUCAGGUCUUGUGUCAGGUCAAAUAAGUGUUUUAGGAAUUUGUACAAAUUUCAGGCCUUUUUACAGGGCCGUGUUAUUCGUCCUCCAAGUACUCUAAGCCUUUUAUCAUAAGCGAAUCAAGAUGCCCAUGUCUGUUGAACGGCCCACACGUGGCAAGAGAAUUGUUCCCUUGCAGUUGUCAAAAAUUUAUCCAGAGAUGGAGACUGCUAGGCCGAAGGUUAACAAUUCGGAGGACCUUAAGCAGCGCCUAUCAAUUCUGCAAAACCGGGUCAACGAUUGGAAAGCCGUUCACAAGCAAGAAACCGAAAUGAAUAUAAAUUUGUGGGAAUACCAAAUGCAUGAAUUUUAAUCAUAUGGUUAAGCUUUAAAUUAAUUAACAUGGAAUCUAAAUGAGCGAA